UGGUCAUCAAGAUGUCAGUCUCCCACC
Molecule: non-coding RNA, 27 nt
Filed under: Rattus norvegicus (Norway rat)
Lineage: Eukaryota; Metazoa; Chordata; Mammalia; Rodentia; Muridae
Source: RNAcentral